Molecule: ribosomal RNA, 468 nt
Filed under: uncultured bacterium
Lineage: Bacteria
Description: partial 16S ribosomal RNA
Rfam family: Bacterial small subunit ribosomal RNA
Source: RNAcentral
GGCGAACGCUGGCGGCGUGCUUAACACAUGCCAGUCGAACGGAAAGGCCCUGCUUUUGUGGGGUGCUCGAGCGGCGAACGGGUGAGUAACACGUGAGUAACCUGCCCUUGACUUUGGGAUAACUUCAGGAAACUGGGGCUAAUACCGGAUAGGAGCUCCUGCUGCAUGGUGGGGGUUGGAAAGUUUCGGCGGUUGGGGAUGGACUCGCGGCUUAUCAGCUUGUUGGUGGGGUAGUGGCUUACCAAGGCUUUGACGGGUAGCCGGCCUGAGAGGGUGACCGGCCACAUUGGGACUGAGAUACGGCCCAGACUCCUACGGGAGGCAGCAGUGGGGAAUAUUGCACAAUGGGCGGAAGCCUGAUGCAGCAACGCCGCGUGCGGGAUGACGGCCUUCGGGUUGUAAACCGCUUUCGCCUGUGACGAAGCGUGAGUGACGGUAAUGGGUAAAGAAGCACCGGCUAACUACGUG